UGCAAGUCGAACGUGAACGGAGCAAUCCUAGUAAAGUGGCGUACGGGUGAGUAACACGUAGGUAAUCUACCUUACAGUUCGGAAUAACCUGACGAAAGUCGGGCUAAUACUGGAUAGAGCGACGGAAGCCGUAACGGUUUUUUCGGGAAAGGGAGCUCGAUAAGAGCCUUCGCUGUAAGAUGAGCCUGCGUCUGAUUAGUUAGUUGGUGGGGUAAUGGCCUACCAAGACGAUGAUCAGUAGCUGGUCUGAGAGGAUGAUCAGCCACACUGGAACUGAAACACGGUCCAGACUCCUACGGGAGGCAGCAGUGGGGAAUCUUGCGCAAUGGACGAAAGUCUGACGCAGCCACGCCGCGUGAGUGAAGAAGGCCUUCGGGUUGUAAAGCUCUGUCACCUGGGACGAAAACACUGACGGUUAAUAGCCGUCGGAAUUGACGGUACCAGGGGAGGAAGCACCGGCUAACUUCGUGCCAGCAGCCGCGGUAAUACGAAGGGUGCAAGCGUUGCUCGGAAUUAUUGGGCGUAAAGGGUUGGUAGGUGGUCUUGUUUGUCUAAGGUGAAAUCCCAUGGCUUAACUGUGGAAGUGCCUUAGAAACGGCAAGACUAGAGUCCUAGAGGGGUUUGUGGAAUUCCCGGUGUAGCGGUGAAAUGCGUAGAGAUCGGGAGGAACACCAGCGGCGAAGGCGGCAAACUGGAUAGGCACCGACACUCAACAACGAAAGCGAGGGGAGCAAACAGGAUUAGAUACCCUGGUAGUCCACGCUGUAAACGAUGGGUACUAGGCUUUGUGGGAAUAGACCCCUGCAGAGCCGGAGCUAACGCAAUAAGUACCCCGCCUGGGAAGUACGGUCGCAAGACUAAAACUCAAAGGAAUUGACGGGGGCCCGCACAAGCGGUGGAUCAUGUGGUUUAAUUCGAAGCAACGCGCAAAACCUUACCUGGGUUUGACAUCCUCGGACCGCUGUAGAAAUACAGUUUUUGUAGCAU
RNAcentral lists this ribosomal RNA (987 nucleotides) under uncultured bacterium. RNAcentral describes it as "bacterial SSU rRNA". It matches the Rfam family "Bacterial small subunit ribosomal RNA", at positions 56 to 1023 of the family's 1533-position model. The record is from RNAcentral.